Non-coding RNA from Nicotiana tabacum (common tobacco), 266 nucleotides. The record is from RefSeq and is a predicted model, not a curated record. NCBI's taxonomy places the organism in Eukaryota, Viridiplantae, Streptophyta, Magnoliopsida, Solanales, Solanaceae.
UGACAGGUGUUUCUGGAUAUCGUGGAAAGUGUUAAUCUGCUUAUGUCUUCAAAAGGUAGUGUGCUCCGUUGUGAUGUAACUGGGAAAGUUCUCAUGAAAUGCUUCCUUUCUGGAAUGCCUGAUUUGAAGUUGGGGCUAAAUGAUAAAAUUGGCCUUGAGAAAGAGUCACAGCUUAAAUCCCGUCCAACUAAGAGUGGAAAAAGUAUUGAGCUCGAUGAUGUUACUUUCCACCAAUGUGUAAAUUUGACAAGAUUCAAUUCAGAAAA